UUCCUACAGGCAAAGAGACUCCUCAAGUUUCCUCAAAAAAAGUGGAUAACAAUAAAAGCACAUCAGAAUGCAACUCCAAAGAUACUGGCAGCACUUGUUUAGGAAACCAGAGUAAUGUAACAGAUCCAAGUACGCAGAAAUCACACAGUCCUCCAUGGAUUAAACCAGAAAACAACAAAUCAACUGAGAGAAAAGAAAACAAUGCUGAGGAGUCAGCUGAAAUCAAUGAAAAGACUCUGUAAAUAACACGUAGCUAUCUUUAAAAUGUUAUUCAUUUGCUAUCGUCUUCAUCUUUUUA
Molecule: non-coding RNA, 298 nt
Organism: Python bivittatus (Burmese python)
Lineage: Eukaryota; Metazoa; Chordata; Lepidosauria; Squamata; Pythonidae
Source: RefSeq, a predicted model, not a curated record